Molecule: ribosomal RNA, 559 nt
Filed under: uncultured bacterium
Lineage: Bacteria
Description: bacterial SSU rRNA
Rfam family: Bacterial small subunit ribosomal RNA
Source: RNAcentral
ACGGGUGAGUAACGCGUGAGCAACCUGACUCUUAGAGGGGGAUAACACUCGGAAACGGGUGCUAAUACCGCAUAAGACCACGACAUGGCAUCAUGACGAGGUCAAAGGAGCAAUCCGCUGAGAGAGGGGCUCGCGUCCCAUUAGAUAGAUGGCGGGGUAACUGCCCACCAUGUCAACGAUGGGUAGCCGAGCUGAGAGGCUGAUCGGCCACACUGGAACUGAGACACGGUCCAGACUCCUACGGGAGGCAGCAGUGGGGAAUAUUGGGCAAUGGGCGCAAGCCUGACCCAGCAACGCCGCGUGAGGGAAGAAGGCUUUCGGGUUGUAAACCUCUGUCCUUGGUGACGAAAAAAAUGACGGUAGCCAAGGAGGAAGCCCCGGCUAACUACGUGCCAGCAGCCGCGGUAAUACGUAGGGGGCGAGCGUUGUCCGGAAUUACUGGGCGUAAAGGGUGCGUAGGUGGCCUUUUAAGUUGGAUGUGAAAUACCCGGGCUUAACUUGGGGGGUGCAUCUAAUACUGGAGGGCUAGAGUGCAGGAGAGGAAAGCGGAAUUCCUAGU